This 1450-nucleotide long non-coding RNA is filed under the name Strigops habroptila (Kakapo). RNAcentral describes it as "lncRNA (ENSSHBG00005015574.1)". Lineage: Eukaryota; Metazoa; Chordata; Aves; Psittaciformes; Psittacidae. The record is from RNAcentral.
GGGUCUGUGUGCACGUGCUGGGUGAAGCCAGAAGUACCUUCUGAAUACCCACAACCUCCCGCCAGCGGAUGAUGCUUCCAUCCAGUUUGAGAGGAGCGUGUCUGUGGUGACACCAGGAUUGCAGUGGAUUUCACUGGACUGAUGCACUGUUGGGCCUGUGGGGCUGAAACAAUUCCUCGUUGUUCUCAAGUCUCACUUUGCCGCCCUGCAGUUACCCAGAGAUGGGUUUUGGUUUCCUGAGUGGACUUCCUGGAAUCGAGUGCCCUUACUUUCCUUGUUCAAAAGGGGUUUCUAAACUGUUACAUCUCUGUGAACUCUGAUUUUCACUUACAGUUUUUGUGCAAUAGAACAAAGCUGGGUUUGCUCUAGGACAUCCCUAAUGUAAGCGCCAAGGAUAUUUCCAGCACUGUUCCUUCAUACCGGUAGCUCUUUCCCUGCUUCCGUUUCCAGCAGCAGGAAUAAAGCAAUUUUUCACUUCUCUCUUUUUAUUUGUACUAACUUGAUACGGGACUGAAGUAGCACGUUCAUAUCAGCAAACAAAAGUGCCCCCACUCUGGUUUCACUGAAGGAUCCAAGAAGUGGGAAUUUGUGCCGUUGGCUGGUUCUUCUCAUUUGCGUGUCAUGAAGUCCUUUGAGUAGUUUGUUCUCACAUCUUGUCCCUGUGAACUGAUCCGAUACUCUCUUUAUCCAGUCUUCUCUCAGCCAAACUUACUUACUGUCCCUUGGUGUCUGUGUCUUCCUGGAGGCUGGCCUUGAUGUUGGAAAAUGGAGCGAAAGCAGCCAGGAAGGGAUCCGGAACCGCUUGGGAUCCCCCCUGCUGUGGUCACGUUUGCACAACACUGGCAAACUACAGCGUAGCAUAGAGUAGAACAAGUAACUGUGGCAUGUAGAGAAGUGAGCAACAUCCUUCGUGUGUUUAUACUGUUGUGCAGUUACGUUUUAAACCUGUUUCUAGUGGUCACUUGACAUUUCGUACUGUCUAGCCACCGUUUUACAGCCCUUGGCUUGGUGGUCCGUUUGUUUAAACGAUCAAUAUCUCAUUUUUGUGGUAGGAUACCUUGGAAAAGUGGUUUUUUACUUGGCUCGCGUGACUGCAGCCCCUCUACACAGGCAUACAUUUUGUCUGCCUUGAUGCAGUUGCAGGAUUUGGGCCUUUUGUUUGGAAUAGGUAAAUAGGCUGGUAUUUUAAAAUAGAAGUUUUCAGAGUACCUUGCUUUCAAAGGAUUAAACUGUAUUAAUAGAGGUGGUGGACGCGCUCUGUACUGUUUGUAUGAAAUAAGCUGAAUGUUCCUCCUCAAAGUUGUCAGUAAAGCAAGGUGAAGCCUCACGAGGUGGUGUCUGGUGCCCCGUCGAUGUGUCUGUGUUCUCGAUGCUCCUCAUGCCCAGAUUCAGUUAUAAGAAGCAGUUCCGAUGACCUUGUGCUUUAAAUAAAACCUGAUUUCAAGCCGCA